UUUAAACUCCAUCUUUACACAUUAGUAUCUCAAACUAACUAAUUUAUCUGCUUCUUGGACACUUUGGAGAACGACAGGGAGAGGAAGAGAGAAACUGGAGAAACUUUCUGCGACACUUCCGGUUGAAGCUUCCGGUAAUCACGCCCAGGUGUGUUCAGGUGUUCUCAGGUGUGUAUAUCAUUGUUUCGAGCAGGUAAGCGGUGCGGACCGCGGGCAGCCUGGCUGUGGAUCAAAGCGGUGGAAGAAGAAGGAGCCGGGGAAGGAGAGAUGAAGUCUAGAUACUCAGAACUCUGUUGACGUCUUCCAGGAGGAUCCCCCGUCGGUGGCCGUCUUCCUCAGGUAGGAGACUCAAAGCUUUCUUAAUGUUGUUUUAUUAUGUUCCAGG
Molecule: non-coding RNA, 385 nt
Organism: Labrus bergylta (ballan wrasse)
Lineage: Eukaryota; Metazoa; Chordata; Actinopteri; Labriformes; Labridae
Source: RefSeq, a predicted model, not a curated record